Molecule: ribosomal RNA, 494 nt
Filed under: uncultured bacterium
Lineage: Bacteria
Description: bacterial SSU rRNA
Rfam family: Bacterial small subunit ribosomal RNA
Source: RNAcentral
AACGAACGCUGGCGGCGCGCCUAAUACAUGCAAGUCGAGCGAGAAAGUGUAGCAAUACACUUGUAAAGCGGCGAACGGGUGAGGAAUACAUGGGUAAUCUACCAUCGAGUGGGGAAUAACCAGCCGAAAGGUUGGCUAAUACCGCGUACGCUUCCGAGUCUUCGGGCUUGGAAGGAAAGCCGCACUGUGAGUGCGGCGCUCUUUGAUGAGCUCAUGUCCUAUCAGCUUGUUGGUAGGGUAACGGCCUACCAAGGCUUUGACGGGUAGCUGGUCUGAGAGGACGAUCAGCCACACUGGCACUGCGACACGGGCCAGACUCCUACGGGAGGCAGCAGUAAGGAAUAUUGCGCAAUGGGCGAAAGCCUGACGCAGCGACGCCGCGUGGGGGAUGAAGGUCUUCGGAUUGUAAACCCCUUUCGGGAGGGAAGAUGGAGCGAGCAAUCGUUCGGACGGUACCUCCAGAAGCAGCCACGGCCAACUCGUGCCAGCAGCCG